Molecule: long non-coding RNA, 963 nt
Organism: Camarhynchus parvulus
Lineage: Eukaryota; Metazoa; Chordata; Aves; Passeriformes; Thraupidae
Exons: 4
Source: RefSeq, a predicted model, not a curated record
GCGGAGCGCCGGAGGCAGGCCCCACCCGGGGCCGGAGCCGUGCGCUCCCCGCGGCCUUUUCUGGGAGGGCGGCGAGGCCCUGACGGGGGCCGUGGUUUGACAGCGCCUCGGGGAGAAGGGCGCGGUCCCCGCGGCGGUGACUGGGCUGUAACGGGGAGCCUGACGCUGUUCGGCCGUGUGGUCGGGGCUGGCUGCUGGCAAAGGGGCCGGGGUCCGCGCCCUUUCCAGGCUGCACUGUGCGCUUGGGGAGACCUUUGGGUGUCUGCGGGCUUGGACGAGGCGUUCCGGAGCUCGGGCCCAGGGAAACAGCACAGGGGACUGGCUGAGGGGCUCAGCCUGGGACACGGCCCCAGCAGGAGCAGCCCUGGGCACACUGGCACAGGAGGAUGAGCCCAGAGACAGAGGAGAUGCUGCUGCACCCGUCCCCAGGAGAGCCCCUGCCUCCCUUCUGCUCUCAGGAGUGGGACUGGGAGCCACCUCCAUGCAGUCAGAGAGUGGCACCUGGCCUGGCUUCACUCCCCGAGGGAAGAGGCUGCUCAGAGCUCCUGAUUAGGGACAUCCACGCCUGCGCCUGGCUGGGAAUCCAGGGUGCACCAGUUCCAGAUCCAGCCACGAGACGUUCCUGCUGCAGCUGCAGGUGUUACCCAGUCCAGCUUGCUGAACCUCCAGCUCUGGCUGUGGCAUGAUCUUCAUUCCAGCUCUGGAAUUGAGAUGCUCCAGUUGAUGGCUGCUCCAGUUCCUUCCAGCUCUGGCUUAAUAACUGCUGCUUUUUGUUACAAGCCACUUUAAAGCUCCAGCUAAUUGCAGUUAUCUGGGCUUUUGGCCAAGUUGUACAUGACUCACUGUCAUCAAUUACAUAUAACUAUUAACUUUGUUAUAACUAUUAACUAUUUAUUGUCAUAAAGUUAUUGUUUAAGUAGAAGUCAUAACUGUUGUAGUGGUUGUGCACAAUAAACAGUUGGA